GUUGCGAUGGCAGAGCCCGGUAAUUGCAUAAAACUUAAACCUUUACACCAGAGGUUCAAAUCCUCUUCACAACA
Molecule: transfer RNA, 74 nt
Filed under: Hippopotamus amphibius (hippopotamus)
Lineage: Eukaryota; Metazoa; Chordata; Mammalia; Artiodactyla; Hippopotamidae
Description: tRNA-Leu (UUR)
Rfam family: tRNA
About the family: Transfer RNA (tRNA) molecules are approximately 80 nucleotides in length.
Source: RNAcentral